GUACUAACUUCGGCUGUACAUAUUCUAAAAUUGGAACGAUAAAGAAAUUAACAUAGCCCCUGCGCAAGGAUGACACGCAUAUUCGUAAAGCGUUCCAUAUUUUU
Molecule: non-coding RNA, 104 nt
Organism: Octopus bimaculoides (California two-spot octopus)
Lineage: Eukaryota; Metazoa; Mollusca; Cephalopoda; Octopoda; Octopodidae
Source: Rfam